Myotis brandtii (Brandt's bat) is the source of this 75-nucleotide non-coding RNA. The record is from Rfam. Lineage: Eukaryota; Metazoa; Chordata; Mammalia; Chiroptera; Vespertilionidae.
GGCAGUUCUCCGGUGAUGCACCCCGGAAUUGGGCUUCCUCCUCUUUGGUUCCAGGUGCAUCACCUGAAAACUGCA